AAUCCAUAGGUUAAUGAGGCGAACCGGGGGAACUGAAACAUCUAAGUACCCCGAGGAAAAGAAAUCAACCGAGAUUCCCCCAGUAGCGGCGAGCGAACGGGGAGGAGCCCAGAGCCUGAAUCAGCAUGUGUGUUAGUGGAAGCGUCUGGAAAGGCGCGCGAUACAGGGUGACAGCCCCGUACACAAAAGCGCAUGUGCUGUGAGCUCGAUGAGUAGGGCGGGACACGUGGUAUCCUGUCUGAAUAUGGGGGGACCAUCCUCCAAGGCUAAAUACUCCUGACUGACCGAUAGUGAACCAGUACCGUGAGGGAAAGGCGAAAAGAACCCCGGCGAGGGGAGUGAAAAAGAACCUGAAACCGUGUACGUACAAGCAGUGGGAGCACCCUUUGGGGUGUGACUGCGUACCUUUUGUAUAAUGGGUCAGCGACUUAUAUUCUGUAGCAAGGUUAACCGUAUAGGGGAGCCGGAGGGAAACCGAGUCUUAAUUGGGCGUUAAGUUGCAGGGUAUAGACCCGAAACCCGGUGAUCUAGCCAUGGGCAGGUUGAAGGUUGGGUAACACUAACUGGAGGACCGAACCGACUAAUGUUGAAAAAUUAGCGGAUGACCUGUGGCUGGGGGUGAAAGGCCAAUCAAACCGGGAGAUAGCUGGUUCUCCCCGAAAGCUAUUUAGGUAGCGCCUCGUGAAUUCAUCUCCGGGGGUAGAGCACUGUUUCGGCUAGGGGGCCAUCCCGGCUUACCAACCCGAUGCAAACUGCGAAUACCGGAGAAUGUUAUCACGGGAGACACACGGCGGGUGCUAACGUCCGUCGUGAAGAGGGAAACAACCCAGACCGCCAGCUAAGGUCCCAAAGUCAUGGUUAAGUGGGAAACGAUGUGGGAAGGCCCAGACAGCCAGGAUGUUGGCUUAGAAGCAGCCAUCAUUUAAAGAAAGCGUAAUAGCUCACUGGUCGAGUCGGCCUGCGCGGAAGAUGUAACGGGGCUAAACCAUGCACCGAAGCUGCGGCAGCGACGCUUAUGCGUUGUUGGGUAGGGGAGCGUUCUGUAAGCCUGUGAAGGUGGCCUGUGAGGGUUGCUGGAGGUAUCAGAAGUGCGAAUGCUGACAUAAGUAACGAUAAAGCGGGUGAAAAGCCCGCUCGCCGGAAGACCAAGGGUUCCUGUCCAACGUUAAUCGGGGCAGGGUGAGUCGACCCCUAAGGCGAGGCCGAAAGGCGUAGUCGAUGGGAAACGGGUUAAUAUUCCCGUACUUGGUGUUACUGCGAAGGGGGGACGGAGAAGGCUAUGUUGGCCGGGCGACGGUUGUCCCGGUUUAAGCGUGUAGGUGUGUGUUCCAGGUAAAUCCGGUUCACUUUAACACUGAGGCGUGACGACGAGGCACUACGGUGCUGAAGCAACAAAUGCCCUGCUUCCAGGAAAAGCCUCUAAGCAUCAGGUAACAUCAAAUCGUACCCCAAACCGACACAGGUGGUCAGGUAGAGAAUACCAAGGCGCUUGAGAGAACUCGGGUGAAGGAACUAGGCAAAAUGGUGCCGUAACUUCGGGAGAAGGCACGCUGACACGUAGGUGAAGUGAUUUACUCAUGGAGCUGAAGUCAGUCGAAGAUACCAGCUGGCUGCAACUGUUUAUUAAAAACACAGCACUGUGCAAACACGAAAGUGGACGUAUACGGUGUGACGCCUGCCCGGUGCCGGAAGGUUAAUUGAUGGGGUCAGCGCAAGCGAAGCUCCUGAUCGAAGCCCCGGUAAACGGCGGCCGUAACUAUAACGGUCCUAAGGUAGCGAAAUUCCUUGUCGGGUAAGUUCCGACCUGCACGAAUGGCGUAAUGAUGGCCAGGCUGUCUCCACCCGAGACUCAGUGAAAUUGAACUCGCUGUGAAGAUGCAGUGUACCCGCGGCAAGACGGAAAGACCCCGUGAACCUUUACUAUAGCUUGACACUGAACAUUGAGCCUUGAUGUGUAG
RNAcentral lists this ribosomal RNA (1958 nucleotides) under Salmonella enterica subsp. enterica serovar Hadar. Its description in RNAcentral is "partial 23S ribosomal RNA". It matches the Rfam family "Bacterial large subunit ribosomal RNA", at positions 161 to 2141 of the family's 2925-position model. Lineage: Bacteria; Pseudomonadati; Pseudomonadota; Gammaproteobacteria; Enterobacterales; Enterobacteriaceae. The record is from RNAcentral.